ACACUUACCUGGCAGGGGAGAUACCAUGAUCACGAAGGUGGUUUUCCAAGGGCAAGGCUUAUCCAUUGCACUCCGGAUGUGCUGACCCCUAAAAAAAUAAAAAUAAAAUAAAAAAAGAAUAUAUAUGGUUUUGUUUAUGUGAAAUCC
Myotis lucifugus (little brown bat) is the source of this 147-nucleotide small nuclear RNA. Its record names the gene U1. It matches the Rfam family "U1 spliceosomal RNA". Rfam says of the family: U1 is a small nuclear RNA (snRNA) component of the spliceosome (involved in pre-mRNA splicing). NCBI's taxonomy places the organism in Eukaryota, Metazoa, Chordata, Mammalia, Chiroptera, Vespertilionidae. The record is from Ensembl.